CACGCUCAUCUCUGAAGAAAGAAGACUCAAAGGAGAUGGGAGGGAUACUUCUUCUGGAAGUGUGUAUAUGUGCUACGGGAAAUGAAAGGAAAAGAGGAACCCCAUGAAGCGGAAUGUUGUUUUGCUGGAAGUGUGGAGAGCCUCGACACAUGAAGAAGAAUUACACACGGGCAUUGGUUUGACAGGAAUGCAAAGUGUGUGAUGAAACAGUUAUGUCGAGAGCUGAUGGACUUCCCAAGAGAGCCAAUAAUGGAGGUUGCACCAUAAUAACCAGCAAUGUGUUUUUCGACAUGAGCCGAAGUGGAAACUCUUAGAAAUGGGGCGGAGAUCUCGGGAUUUACGGAAAAGGAUCAUUUUUUUUCCAAUAUAGUGAAGUAAAAUGGUAAAACAGAUAAUUGUGAUCCCAUAUAUAUAUAUAUAUAUUGC
This 426-nucleotide long non-coding RNA is filed under the name Nicotiana benthamiana. Its description in RNAcentral is "long non-coding RNA (NBEN_LNC039516)". Lineage: Eukaryota; Viridiplantae; Streptophyta; Magnoliopsida; Solanales; Solanaceae. The record is from RNAcentral.